ACGAACGCUGGCGGCGUGCCUAAUACAUGCAAGUCGAGCGGAAUGAUGAAGAAGCUUGCUUCUUCUGAUUUUAGCGGCGGACGGGUGAGUAACACGUGGGCAACCUACCUUGUAGAUUGGGAUAACUCCGGGAAACCGGGGCUAAUACCGAAUAAUCCAUUUUGCUUCAUGGCGAGAUGUUGAAAGACGGUUUCGGCUGUCACUACGAGAUGGGCCCGCGGCGCAUUAGCUAGUUGGUAGGGUAAUGGCCUACCAAGGCGACGAUGCGUAGCCGACCUGAGAGGGUGAUCGGCCACACUGGGACUGAGACACGGCCCAGACUCCUACGGGAGGCAGCAGUAGGGAAUCUUCCACAAUGGACGAAAGUCUGAUGGAGCAACGCCGCGUGAGUGAAGAAGGUUUUCGGAUCGUAAAACUCUGUUGUAAGGGAAGAACACGUACGAGAGUAACUGCUCGUACCUUGACGGUACCUUAUUAGAAAGCCACGGCUAACUACGUG
This 499-nucleotide ribosomal RNA is filed under the name uncultured bacterium. Its description in RNAcentral is "bacterial SSU rRNA". It matches the Rfam family "Bacterial small subunit ribosomal RNA", at positions 29 to 507 of the family's 1533-position model. The record is from RNAcentral.